CGCUAUACUACCCGCUGAAAUAAUCGGCUCAACGCUACGAGCGGGUGUUCAAUGUGU
Enterobacter sp. 638 is the source of this 57-nucleotide small RNA. It matches the Rfam family "Enterobacterial sRNA STnc450". The record is from Rfam. NCBI's taxonomy places the organism in Bacteria, Pseudomonadati, Pseudomonadota, Gammaproteobacteria, Enterobacterales, Enterobacteriaceae.